GAUGGAGCAACGCCGCGUGAGUGAAGAAGGUUUCGGCUCGUAAAACUCUGUUGUUAAAGAAGAACAUAUCUGAGAGUAACUGUUCAGGUAUUGACGGUAUUUAACCAGAAAGCCACGGCUAACUACGUGCCAGCAGCCGCGGUAAUACGUAGGUGGCAAGCGUUGUCCGGAUUUAUUGGGCGUAAAGCGAGCGCAGGCGGUUUUUUAAGUCUGAUGUGAAAGCCUUCGGCUCAACCGAAGAAGUGCAUCGGAAACUGGGGAACUUGAGUGCAGAAGAGGACAGUGGAACUCCAUGUGUAGCGGUGAAAUGCGUAGAUAUAUGGAAGAACACCAGUGGCGAAGGCGGCUGUCUGGUCUGUAACUGACGCUGAGGCUCGAAAGUAUGGGUAGCAAACAGGAUUAGAUACCCUGGUAGUCCAUACCGUAAACGAUGAGUGCUAAGUGUUGGAGGGUUUCCGCCCUUCAGUGCUGCAGCUAACGCAUUAAGCAUUCCGCCUGGGAGUACGGCCGCAAGGCUGAAACUCAAAGGAAUUGACGGGGGCCCGCACAAGCGGUGGAGCAUGUGGUUUAAUUCGAAGCUACGCGAAGAACCUUACCAGGUCUUGACAUACUAUGCAAAUCUAAGAGAUUAGACGUUCCCUUUGGGGACAUGGAUACAGGUGGUGCAUGGUUGUCGUCAGCUCGUGUCGUGAGAUGUGGG
This 700-nucleotide ribosomal RNA is filed under the name Lactiplantibacillus plantarum. RNAcentral describes it as "bacterial SSU rRNA". It matches the Rfam family "Bacterial small subunit ribosomal RNA", at positions 385 to 1078 of the family's 1533-position model. The record is from RNAcentral. Lineage: Bacteria; Bacillati; Bacillota; Bacilli; Lactobacillales; Lactobacillaceae.